GAUGAACGCUGGCGGCGUGCCUAAUACAUGCAAGUCGAGCGAACAGACGAGGCUCUUGCUCCUCUGACGUUAGCGGCGGACGUGUGAGUAACACGUGUAUAACCUACCUAUAAGACUGGGAUAACUUCGGGAAACCGGAGCAAAUCGCGUAUAAUAUACUGAAGCAUAUGGUUCAAUAGUGAAAUACGGCUUUUCUGGCACUUAUAGAUGCAUCCGCGCCGGAUUAGUUAGUGUGGAAGGUAACGGCUUAGCAAGGCGGCUGUGCGUAGCCGACCUGCGAGGGUGGUAGGCCACACGGGAACUGAGACACGGACCAGACUCCUACGAGAGGCAGCAGUAGGGAAUCGGCCGCAGUGGGCGAGAGCCUGACGGAGCAACGCCGCGUGAGUGAUGAAGGUCUUCGGAUCGUAAAACUCUGUUAUUGGUGAAAAACAAAUGUGUAAGUAGCUAUGGACGGCUUGACGGUACCGAAUCAGAAAGCCCCGGCUAACUACGUG
RNAcentral lists this ribosomal RNA (497 nucleotides) under uncultured bacterium. RNAcentral's name for it is "partial 16S ribosomal RNA". It matches the Rfam family "Bacterial small subunit ribosomal RNA", at positions 28 to 507 of the family's 1533-position model. The record is from RNAcentral.